Molecule: ribosomal RNA, 549 nt
Filed under: Hyaloscypha variabilis
Lineage: Eukaryota; Fungi; Ascomycota; Leotiomycetes; Helotiales; Hyaloscyphaceae
Description: eukaryotic LSU rRNA
Rfam family: 5.8S ribosomal RNA (bases 207-360)
Source: RNAcentral
UCCGUAGGUGAACCUGCGGAAGGAUCAUUAAAAAAAGAGAAACGCCCCGUUUUUUUUCAUAAGAAUGGGUUCUAUUCCCUUAAACCGUGUCUACAUACCUUUGUUGCUUUGGCAGGCCGCCUUCGGGCGUCGGCUCCGGCUGAUAGUGCCUGCCAGAGGACCCAAACUCUAUGUUUAGUGAUGUCUGAGUACUAUAUAAUAUUUAAAACUUUCAACAACGGAUCUCUUGGUUCUGGCAUCGAUGAAGAACGCAGCGAAAUGCGAUAAGUAAUGUGAAUUGCAGAAUUCAGUGAAUCAUCGAAUCUUUGAACGCACAUUGCGCCCCUUGGUAUUCCGAGGGGCAUGCCUGUUCGAGCGUCAUUAUAACCACUCAAGCCUGGCUUGGUAUUGGGGUCUUCGCGUGCUCGCGGCCCUUAAAAUCAGUGGCGGUGCCGUCUGGCUCUAAGCGUAGUAAUUUCUCUCGCUAUAGGGUUCCGGUGGUUACUUGCCAAAACCCCCCAUUUUUUCUAGGUUGACCUCGGAUCAGGUAGGGAUACCCGCUGAACUUAA